Molecule: long non-coding RNA, 3009 nt
Organism: Nomascus leucogenys (northern white-cheeked gibbon)
Lineage: Eukaryota; Metazoa; Chordata; Mammalia; Primates; Hylobatidae
Exons: 4
Source: RefSeq, a predicted model, not a curated record
CAUACCCCCCACUCACAGCCCUCAGCUCCCUCCAGCACCUCCUGCCUUAUUCAGGCACUCAAGGGCACACAGGUGCCCACUUGCUGGAAUCCCCACUCCCUGCCAACCCUCUGAGCCCCCCCCCCAACCGGCUCUCCCGGGGAGCCCUCUCCCCGCCUCAGAGCCAGUCUGUCUCCUCCUUCCUUCCGCCCCUGGGGGGAACGUCUUUCUGGCAAAAAAACUCCCCAAAAAUGGCUCUCCUGGCAUUUCUAAUUAAAGGUAAGUGGGCGGACAGAGAAGGGAGGGCGGAGGGGCACCGCUGAGCUGGGAGGGGGAGCCAGGCAGAGAAGACUCCAGCACAGAGACCUUCCCGCUUCUCCACUGCGGAAUCCCGGGGAGAGGAGCUGGGUGGGUACAUGCGGGACGGGCAGAUGCCAGCAGCCUUGGGUGAGUGCAGCCGGCGGUCACCGAGGGCCACAUGUCUGGGUUGGGACCAGCAUGAGCCUAUAAGUGUUGUCUGGGUACUGGGCACUGACCGUGCAUGUGUGUCCAUUGUGAGAGCCAGCACUUCAAUGACCAGGGGCCAGCCCCGCCAGGGUUUACAAGCCCAUGUGGCUCCUGACGUCCCUGCCAGGGCACAGCCUCCAGCUGCCACCCCCACCAGAGGCAUUGGCAAGCUGACAAGGAGGCAGGACUGGGGACACGUGAGCCAAGGUCACAGGUGGUGCCGCUGCCUCAGUUCCCUCACCUGCGUGGAGGGAGCCAGGCCCAGAGAAGGGUGAGUGCCCAAGGUGGCCUGGUGAGCAAGGCAGGGCUGGGCAGGAGCCAGGCCCUUGGUGAGGAAUCCUGGUGUCCUCUGCUCAGUGCCCCGUGGCCCCUCACCACCCCUGUCACCUGCUAAACAGCAAGCCAGCAAUGGCCAAGCCGACACCGGUGGGAGAGCACAGUGCCUGCCCUGGAUGGCACGAGGGCAGGCAGCGUCGGGGGUACCACGCGGAGCCCCAUCUUCCCCUCCCCAACUCCCUACAGCAGGGUCUGCAGAGGCUGUGAAUGCAGGCCUGAGCUGACAGGUGACAGGCAACAGCCGCAGCUGCCAGGAACACUUAAUCGCUGCCCAAUUAUCGCCCCAGAAGCCCUCACCAAACCCCCGCACUGCAGCCUCGGGAAAGGAGGCCAGGCUGGCUCCCAUCCACCUGGGGCGGGGGCCUCUCCUGACAGGGGCCUGCCCUGCCCCUCUCUCCAGCCCACCCCCACCCCCUGCCCAUCCCUGACAGCCACUGGAGCAGCAUAGCUUGGGGGUGCAGGUGGGGGAAGGAACAGGGGGAGGGGGUGGGGCUAGACCUGCACAAGGGGGUCGGGAGCACCUGGGGUACCCCCACUCUCAAAGCCAACCCGGUCUGCUGCCGCACAGGUCUGACAGCUCUGAGGUCCCACCUGCCUGAGAGGAGGGGUCCUGCAGGGGAGGGUGGGGUAGCCCGUGACCCCCAGGUUCUGUUCACGGUUGAGAUCACAGGCUCACAGCAGCCUCGAAGGACCUCUUAGUGCUGGUUCCUGAACCCCUGCCACCUAGGUUCCCAGAGGUGUGCGGGUACCUGCUCUGAGAGGCAGGGGCCACCCUGUGCCCUGGGCCUCCCUUCUCCUUCUGCGGUGCCCAGCCGCCUCUGCUCCUGCCUGAUCAGAGCGAAGGGAGUCGGCUCUCUCCCUGCAGCCCCAGACGGUCUCAGCCCUGGCUGACCCACUCCGGCAGGGCCUUUCUGGGUUGCCAGGAGCGUUCACAGGGCAGCUGCUGACCUGGGGCAUCCUGCUGCUCCCCUAGGCUGGCCCUGCUGAUCUCGGGUGCCGGCAGUUAGUGCUACUCAGCAGGGAGAGGCAAACACAGGCCCCUCCAGGCCAGAGCUCACACCCACCCUCACUCACACACAUGCGCAAACACAUGGGCACACGCAGAGGCACACACCUCCCCCAUCUCCCCUGCCUCCAGGCUCUGUCCUCUUUGGAAACAGCCCAGAGGGCCCCCAACUCUGCCUAGGCCCCCCACACCACUGUCUUCAUAAAGGCCCUUCCUCGCCUGCCCACUGCUGGCCGCACACACCUGCCCACCCCACCCUUUGCACACAUUCCGGGGCUCCUGCUGCCCUUCUGUGUGGGCCACGUGGAGUGAGGAGCCGGCAGCAGAGAAGGAAUGCGGCGGUCCCAGGGGUUGGUUCGGACACCCGCCCCCCACAUGUGACCACUCCCCAGCCUUGUGGCUUCAUCUGUCACCACCUACUGCCCUGUGGGGCUGGAAGAGAAGAACCAGGCUGCCCUAUGCCCUCAGGGUGCCUACUGCUGGCCCAAGCUGUGUGGCCAGACCUGGAGGCCAGCCUCUCAGCCACCUGCUCCCACCGGGUGUCCCUUGCUGUCCAGCCCAGGACUCCACAGGCUGCAGGAGCUGCUGACCUCUGACCUCGCUGGGCUCACAGGCCAGACUCCCACCCCAGCCAGCCUGGCCCAGAUGCACAGGCGUCCCUUCGGGGCAGGUGGGGUCACGAGAGCCCAGGCCUCCACCGACCACGGGCAGACAAGGGACAUGCGCUCCUCACCACCGCCACCCCAGCCGUGCACAGAAGGGGAAAUCGAGGUCCAGAGAGGGCCAGGGAUUAGCCCAAGCCACACAGCAAGGACGGCCAGAGCCAGGGCAGGAAGUGAGUUCCCUAAGCCCCCACGCCCUCUCUGGCCUCAGUUUCCUCGCUGAGGAAGUGCUCCAAGGUAGCUCCAGCUCUGCCCUGCCCAGUCGGUGGGGUGAUCAGUCAUUCCGUCAACAAAAGUUUCCAAGACAGCCUUGGCAGGGGACAGAGUGGACCAAAUGGAGGCUGAGGUCCUUCUCAGCUUGGGCAGUGUGGCAGAGAGUGAGGAAGAGCCCAUGGGCCCUGGAUCACCAGCCUCCCUCCACACAGAACGCCCCGUCCACUCCACUGCCCACCACCCCCUGUUCAACUGACAAACAUUCCAGUGUUAACACCUAAGCAUAAAGAGUCGGCUUUGCCGUAA